GACGGAGGGUGCUAGCGUUGUUCGGAAUGACUGGGCGUAAAGGGCGCGUAGGCGGCCCCUUGCGUCGGAUGUGAAAGCCCGGGGCUCAACCCCGGAACGGCAUCCGAGACGGGGUGGCUCGAGACCGGGAGAGGAGGGUGGAAUACCCAGUGUAGAGGUGAAAUUCGUAGAUAUUGGGUGGAACACCGGUGGCGAAAGCGGCUCUCUGGCCCGGUUCUGACGCUGAGGCGCGAAAGCGUGGGGAGCAAACAGGAUUAGAAACCCUUGUAGUCC
This 273-nucleotide ribosomal RNA is filed under the name uncultured bacterium. RNAcentral describes it as "partial 16S ribosomal RNA". It matches the Rfam family "Bacterial small subunit ribosomal RNA", at positions 524 to 796 of the family's 1533-position model. The record is from RNAcentral.